CCUGGCGCAGCAGUGAGGAAUAUUGGUCAAUGGGCGAGAGCCUGAACCAGCCAAGUCGUGUGAGGGAGUACUGCCCUAUGGGUUGUAAACCUCUUUUGUCGGGGAGCAAGACCCGCCUCGUGCAGGCGGAGCGAGAGUACCCGAAGAAAAAGCAUCGGCUAACUCCGUGCCAGCAGCCGCGGUAAUACGGAGGAUGCGAGCGUUAUCCGGAUUUAUUGGGUUUAAAGGGUGCGCAGGCGGACCAUCAAGUCAGCGGUAAAAUCGUGGGGCCCAACCCCAUCCCGCCGUUGCAACUGGCGGUCUUG
Molecule: ribosomal RNA, 305 nt
Filed under: uncultured bacterium
Lineage: Bacteria
Description: bacterial SSU rRNA
Rfam family: Bacterial small subunit ribosomal RNA
Source: RNAcentral